CACUCCAUCAUCGCAUGGUGGGGGGUGGAAAGCUUUAUUGUGGUUUUGGAUGGACUCGCGGCCUAUCAGCUUGUUGGUGAGGUAAUGGCUCACCAAGGCGACGACGGGUAGCCGGCCUGAGAGGGUGACCGGCCACACUGGGACUGAGACACGGCCCAGACUCCUACGGGAGGCAGCAGUGGGGAAUAUUGCACAAUGGGCGCAAGCCUGAUGCAGCGACGCCGCGUGAGGGAUGACGGCCUUCGGGUUGUAAACCUCUUUCAGUAGGGAAGAAGCGAAAGUGACGGUACCUGCAGAAGAAGCGCCGGCUAACUACGUGCCAGCAGCCGCGGUAAUACGUAGGGCGCAAGCGUUAUCCGGAAUUAUUGGGCGUAAGAGCUCGUAGGCGGUUUGUCGCGUCUGCCGUGAAAGUCCGGGGCUCAACUCCGGAUCUGCGGUGGGUACGGGCAGACUAGAGUGAUGUAGGGGAGACUGGAAUUCCUGGUGUAGCGGUGAAAUGCGCAGAUAUCAGGAGGAACACCGAUGGCGAAGGCAGGUCUCUGGGCAUUAACUGACGCUGAGGAGCGAAAGCAUGGGGAGCGAACAGGAUUAGAUACCCUGGUAGUCCAUGCCGUAAACGUUGGGCACUAGGUGUGGGGGACAUUCCACGUUUUCCGCGCCGUAGCUAACGCAUUAAGUGCCCCGCCUGGGGAGUACGGCCGCAAGGCUAAAACUCAAAGGAAUUGACGGGGGCCCGCACAAGCGGCGGAGCAUGCGGAUUAAUUCGAUGCAACGCGAAGAACCUUACCAAGGCUUGACAUGGGCCGGACCGGGCUGGAAACAGUCCUUCCCCUUUGGGGCCGGUUCACAGGUGGUGCAUGGUUGUCGUCAGCUCGUGUCGUGAGAUGUUGGGUUAAGUCCCGCAACGAGCGCAACCCUCGUUCCAUGUUGCCAGCGCGUAAUGGCGGGGACUCAUGGGAGACUGCCGGGGUCAACUCGGAGGAAGGUGGGGACGACGUCAAAUCAUCAUGCCCCUUAUGUCUUGGGCUUCACGCAUGCUACAAUGGCCGGUACAAAGGGUUGCGAUACUGUGAGGUGGAGCUAAUCCCAAAAAGCCGGUCUCAGUUCGGAUUGGGGUCUGCAACUCGACCCCAUGAAGUCGGAGUCGCUAGUAAUCGCAGAUCAGCAACGCUGCGGUGAAUACGUUCCCGGGCCUUGU
Molecule: ribosomal RNA, 1198 nt
Filed under: Arthrobacter sp. SO3-16
Lineage: Bacteria; Bacillati; Actinomycetota; Actinomycetes; Micrococcales; Micrococcaceae
Also listed under: 1 other name
Description: bacterial SSU rRNA
Rfam family: Bacterial small subunit ribosomal RNA
Source: RNAcentral